This is a long non-coding RNA of Acinonyx jubatus (cheetah), 8504 nucleotides long. RefSeq lists it as uncharacterized. The record is from RefSeq and is a predicted model, not a curated record. The transcript is spliced from 3 exons. NCBI's taxonomy places the organism in Eukaryota, Metazoa, Chordata, Mammalia, Carnivora, Felidae.
CCCUCCCCCACCCGUGCACCAUGCUUUCUCUCUAAAUAAAUGAAUAAACAUUUAAAUCUAUCUAUCUACCUAUCUAUCUAUGUAUCUAUGUAUAUUUAUAUUUGAAACCCUUCAGAAUAAACUUUUAACAAAUAAGUAAACCCAAGCCACUCCAAUAUUUUCCCCGUAUAUUCUCCCAAAGAAGGCUCUUCAGUGUUAGAAUGGUUGUUCCCUCACAAGUAGUACACAGGUUGAGACCAGAGAAAGAAUUCCAAGUGGAGGGUAAAACCCCAGGCCAUCAUGGGGGGCCAAACCCUCUUUCAAAUGGAGUGCUAUUUACUUAGGGGGUGAGGGGCUCUGUCUUGUGUGUCUUAAACCAGACUGUCCCUGUUGGGUGGAAGCAACAUAUUACACCUGGACAGCUCCCUGCCCCACCCUAGGUUAAGAAAUGGGAUUUGUAAAGACCAGUAGGUUGGAUCCAAGGCAGAGGGAGGAGGUAAAAUUAGAUGUCUCUUUUUGUGAGGCUUGGAUGAGGUUGAGGUCUGAGAUCAGAGGUCAAGGAUGGGGCUGGAGGGAUGGGCGUGUCACUAAGGUGAGUGUGCUGUGCCAAGACCUAAGAGGCUUCGGGAGCUGACCUUCCUGGCCUUCAUGCCUUUCUCCUUGGUGCCAGUUCUCUGGGAUGGAGACAGAGCUCCUACCCAUCUCCCCCUCAACCCCCCUGCCCAUCUCCCUCCCACACCAUUCUCCUCUCUUCUCUGUCCAGUUCUCUGAUCCAUUUCCAUUCUCUCCUUCCUCAAGCCCCUUCCUCAUCUCCAUUUGCCAUUCCCUGUCCUCCGCCCUGCCAGACACCCCAGUUCAGGGUCCAGGAGAAGGACAGCUUUUAUGUGGCUUGUAAAAUUCUAUUAUAUCUGUAUUCAAAACCUAGCAGCUGAGAAACACUGGUAAUAAGCGUGUUAUUAAGCGUGUAAAUACACUUCCACUCCAAGGCCUCUAAGGGGCAAGGGCUGGAUUCUCAGGCUGGGCAUCUCCCCUGCUUGUAAGUCCCUCCCCACCUGGCCUCCACCCCAGACUUGGACCUUGUGCCAAGGCCCAGGUCUCCUCCAGUCUCCAACCACCACCGUCCUGCAAAACCCAGACUCUUGGAGAAAGGGGGCGGGGGAAGGGGCCGAAGAAAAAAAACAUUAGGAAAAAAACUCCCACCCAGAGAGCAUUCUUUCUGCAGCACUCAGGAAAAAGGAUGUCUCACAGGGGACGGGAAGGCGAAAUUUUUUCACAUCCAAAUGGAUUGCAAUUUCCCUCCAUUUAGCACCUGAAGGUAAUUAGCUCGAAGAGACUGCCGAGUGCGAAACACGUUCACGGAACAUUAACUCUCACACAUUCUCCAGUUGCAGGGAAUUAAUAGGAAAGAUUAAAGUUUAAAGAGAGCAAAAUGCCAUUACCUCGCCAGCCACCUCUCUCCGCGGCAGUCUCCAGCCCCCGAAAACCUUCGGCCAGUGCUUGGGCCGGGGCUCGGGUCUCAGCCUCCAGCCUGGCUGGCUGGGGCAUCUGGGUGUGCCUCACCAAGAAGGCUAGCAUGUGCUGAUGUGCACGCACGUGUGCAAAACAGGGCAGCUCUGCAAGGCCAGUGCAGCCCCCCUCCCAUCCCCGAGAAGUUUGGGGUGGACAGGGCAGGUGUGUUCUCAUAGGCUGACUCCUGGCAUUGGUGUGUAUGGUGGCCCUGGGCGGGGGCGGAUGGGGGAGAUACUAGGAAGUGUUAUUAGCUUGGGCGUGCCCUGUGAUUUCGGUGCAGAGGGCGAGAUCUGGCAGCUUGGCCGGCAAUAGAGAAAUGGGGGGUGUCAGUCCCACCUUGGGUGUGUAGAGAGGCACUGGGUGAAGUGAUGGAGAGAGUUGCUUCCACUCUUGUGAGGCAGGCAGGAGCCACAAACAUACGUGUGCAUGCAUACGCAGGCUCCCACGACCACACACAGACGGCCUUUGUCACUCUGCUUUUUUCAAAGUUUAUGUAGGCUUCAAAUUGGAAAGGUUUCUGUGUUGCUUCAGUAUUUUAGGAAAAGAUGAAAGACAGAGAGAGGGAGACAGAGAGAGUGGGAGAGAGAGAGAGUGAGGGAGAGAGAGAGGGGCAGAGGCAGGCAGGAGAGAGAGAGCACGAGAUGAAAUUGAGACAUGGAAGAAUUUAUUGCCCAGAAAAUUCCAUUCUGCUAUCUGAUUCAAAAAGUCCAGUCCCCCCAGCUUCGGAAAAUCUAUUUUCCACAUUUUAAUACCCUGCAGAACAGUCCUCAUAACUCAUCCGAGUGUGUUAAGCACAGUUUUAUUAGAUCUGAAACAAAUUUUGGUGGGGAGAUACUAUAGGUCAUUAACCAUGGAGUAAUUUUAUCCUUGUUUCCCUAAUGAUGCCAUAAUGGCGAGCGAAUUUCUUAACUAAAGACCAAAGAACAUUUUGAAGGUCAGUUUCAUCUGUGAGCUCCUUCAAGCGCUUCUCAGAGAAGAUUGGAAAACUCGCCGAUUUUUUGAAGAGUCAUUAAUAAUGUGAAAGCUGAAAGCACCCUCCAUUUGCGUUCCUGCUUUUUACCUUUUAAUUUUAUAUCGUCCCCGCUCAGAGCCCCGCUCCCACUCCCUCACCCUCCUCUGGACCUCCCGCCUGCCUACCCACCCCACGCAGGGAACAAGGCUGCCCCAUACCAGGUACCAGGCUAGCUGUGAGGGGCAGACAGGGGCUGCAGGAGGGGAGGCAGAAGAGCUAGACAGGCCAGGGCCCCAAAGAGAUGGGGGCCUUUGCUAAAUUCCCAGAAUGUGGUGUACUGUGUGAGGGUAUUGUUAUAGGCAUGGUACACGUGUGCGUGUGUGCGUGUGUGCAAAUGUGCAGUGCAGGGGACUGGGGUCUCUGGAUUGCAUGCUGGCUGUGCACACACAUGCUAGGGACCAAUGGGGACUUAGUAGUCUCUAUAGGUGGGUGCCCUCUGUUGGACGCAGGUGGGGAAAGAGAACUGGAAACCAGCACUGGGUCCAGUGGCUUGGGCAGUGGGUCAGCUGGGGGACUUGAGGUAUCUCCCAACAGAGAUGGACAACACGUGCAAGGCAUGAAACAAUUGAUAGCGCAUUGUGAGCCCUGAUUACAAUGUGUGCACAUGAGCGUAUAUGUCCUGGGGGUGGUGAGGUCAUCAAGGCAAAAGCCCCAAGGGCCCUCUCUACUGGCAAAUAUUUAGACACUUGAAACAGUGACCAUUGUCUGCCCAUCCCUCACUCCUUGGACCACUCACUCCUUGCUCCCCAGGCCUGGAGCCCUUCAUUUGCCCACUUUACUCCCUCCUAAUCUCCAGUCUCUGGCUCCUUGGACCCCCCCCCCCCCCGCCUCCCAGUUCCACCCCUUCCCCUGAACACUCCUCCCCCCAGCUCCUCACCUAUCUGAUGGCUAUCAUUGCAGGGUGCCCAGCCAGGAGCCGGGGUGGGACAGCAUCUCUGUGUGUGUGCAGGUUUGGGGAGGAGGGGGCGGUGUGGUGACACUCCAUGCUCCCAGAUGUGGUGGCAGCGAUAAUUCCAAUUUUAUGCCUUUGUUAUGGCUUUAAUCACUUUCUUUAUGCGUUUUGUUCCAGCGAUCAGGGAGAGACACCUGAUAGGCAAAGAGGAUACCAGGGGAACCAUUUUUAUUUGGAAUGUGGUGAGAAGUCUAAUUAGAAUCUGAAUUCUGCUGAGCCUUGAAAUGGCCAGCACUUUAUCCUGAUCGCCUUAGAUAUUGUUUCGAGUCAAUCAUCUGUCAUGGUGCGGCAGGAGAGCCUCUCCCUUCACACCGCACCCCUCCCGCCACGGGGCCAGCCCAGGCACACUGGGGGAGGGGAGGCUCAGGCUUCCGCCCUCGUAGGGAUCUGUGCCUCCUUCUGGGGAGGGGGGGCUGUUUGGUAUAGCCAACCCUCCAUUGGUGAGGGCUGUCUUUGCUGGGUGCUGAGUUUCAGCUCAUGGGGGUGGAGAGAGGGGCUGCAGGAAGAGGGGCCUGAGAGGCCUGUAUUAGAAUUAGGAAAUAUUGAGGUGAGGCCAAGCUAGUCUGGGGCACCUCCUAAAUGCUCUCAGUACACUGGCCACCCCACCUCCUAUCAAUGGCCCACAGCGACUCUCCUCUCUUUACUGUCCCCUGGACAUAUUGUAUCUCUGCCACCUGCUCACUGUCCCUCAAACUCACUGCUCCCAUUGCCAACCCCUCCCUGACCAACACUUGCCACACGUUCAGCUCCUGGUCUCCGACUUUCCUCCCUCCAGUCCUGCCGCUGGACCACCAAUCUGGCUUGUUCUGCCAUCUGUCGAGUCCCUGGACUUGUUCCACCUCCUCCAGAAAGCCUUCCCUGACUACCUGAACCCACACAGGUGAGCUCCUCGAGAGGUGGACAAUUACGACACAGGCCCCCACCUGGCGAUGGCCGCGCUGGCUGCCGACACUCCUCCCACAAGACCCUGCUCCAUUUAUCUUUCUCCUGCCUUCAGAUGAUUUCCAGUUGCCUCUCUCUUUUUCUAAACUGUUUUGGUGUGUGUGUGUGUGUGUGUGUGUGUGUGUGUGUGUGUGUGUGUGUGUCCUAAAUCUGCUCAAACCCUUUUUGAGCAUAGCAAAAUGUAAAGUAGAAAUAAAUAUUACUCUGAAUGAUAAUUUCACCUCCCCAAUCACAUCUUGUGCUCCCAAAGUCUGACCAUUUCUUCUCUGUAUCCUGCCUUUUCCACUAACUAUAAGCACACAGGACCAGGCACAGAGUGGGGAGCUGUGCAUUGCCUCCAGAAGUCAGAGAUUCACGGAAGCUUUCUGCUUCCUGCUUCCCCUCAUACAUAACCCCCAAUACAUACCUACUAUGUGACAGAUGUAGGCAUAGUUGGGGGACUAUUAGUAGCCAAAGGAAGUGCCAUUUCUGGCAGGAAAGAGGAGCAUGUGCUCUAUGAAUAAUGUUUCCAUGGGAGAUGGCCAAUGUGGGUCCUUUUUAGAUGGUUGGGGCACUCAGUGGCCCUCUAGCCACUUAGUGUGCCCCAUAAAGCAGAAUGUCCUCAUUGAUGUCAGUAUCACUGGGCCUCCUGGAUGGUCACUGCCCUCUCGAGAUUAUGUAGCCAGGGUACCUUAUGUAUGGUCCAAGGGGCAGUGUGACCAGAUGCUGCCAUAGAAAAAUACAGACUCAGAGGGUCCCCAGAAUACCCUUCUCAAUCUGCUCACUUCCCCAUCCCUAUCUGGACCCAAGCUUGAAUGCAAUCCUGACUCAUUUUAUUUGAGGAUGGUCUCUUUCCCUCCUUGCACCUCAGUUCUUCCUGGUCCCUGAGCUGUGGGCAAGGAGUGGGGAUGGCACUAACCAUAGUCCAGCAAAUCAUGGGGCUUGUUGGGAGACAGUUCUCUGGAAUGCAUUGCCAGGACUCUAUUCCUUUCUCCCUCCCAGCAGCCCCUAUCCGGAGGCAUGGCUGUACUGACACCACACUGAUGGAUGGAGAGUGAAGAGAUACAGGGAGAUGGAGAAGGAAUCCAUAGCCAGGGGUCCUCAUUUAUAGGGGAAGGCAGGACAGUGGCCGGAGGGACUUAGGAGCAAGCUUCCUAGUGGGAAAUUGCAAGCUGCCAUUAGCGUUUAGGUACAAGUUAAUAUAUCUGAGGGAGUGUGUGUGUGUGUGUGUGUGUGUGUGUGUGUGCGUGCGCACACUCACACGCGCACACACACACACACCCGCAUGUGAUGGAGGGUCAGUAGGUGAGGGGUUAAGGUCCCUGUAGGGAAGAAGCAGAACGCUGGCACACUUGGUCUGCCCAUAGAGAAGGGUGGGAGUUCAAGGGUGGCUCAUGCUCCAACUACUGUUUCUCCAUCUAUACAAAUAGUGGGGAGAUGAAGCUCCUGGCCCAGGGAGCACAUGUGUAGGGUGAGGGUGGUGGGCGGGAGGACAGAGAUGCCAAAGCUACUAAAGGCCUAGUCUCUUCCCAUCUCAGACACCCUCAAGGCACUGUCCUCUCUCUACAUCCAGAGCUCGGCUGCAGUGGGGGGAGAUGAAAAGGAGGAGAAACUGUUGGAUAAAAAGAAAUUCAAAAAAAAAAAGUAAUCUCUCCCAAAUGUAGCCACAGUGCAAAGCUCUCCACUGUUCUCUCCAGUCUCUCAGGAGAUCUCAGUCACUUGGGAACUUGCAGCUGUCACCCCCGAGCAGGUGGGAGAGCCAAACUCUGGGAAGAUGAAGUUCUCCUCAAGAGAAAUGAAAACGUGGGCCUACACAAAAACUUGUACAACAAUGGUUGGAGCAGUAUUUUUCAUAAUGGCCCAAAAGUGGAAAGAACCCAAAUGUCCCAUCAACUGGUGAAUACGUAAAUAAAAUGUAGUAUAUCCAUACAAUGGGGUAUUAUUUGGUCAUGAAAAGUAAUGAAGUACUGAUUCAUGUUACAACACGGGUGAAUAUUGAAGACUCUAUGUUAAGUAAAAGAAGCCAAUCUCCAAAAAAAAACCAAACACCAUGCAUUCUUUUAGUUCCUUUACACAACGCGUCCAGAGUCAGCAAAUAUACAGAAAAAGAAAAUAGAUUAAGAGUUGCUUAGAUCUGGGGGUGGGGAGUAUUGGGGGAAGAGGAGAGACUGCCAAUGGGUAUGGGGUUGGGGGAGAUGGUUCAAAUGUCCUAAAAUGUCUCACAGUGAGGGGUGCUGGUUUGAUUAAGCGUCUCACUUCGGCUCAGGUCACAAUCUCAUGGUUUUGUAGGUUUCAGCCCCACGUUGGGCUCUGCUGCUUCAGAUCCUGUCUCCCUCUCUCUUUGCCCCUCCACUCUCUCUCUCUCUGUCUCUGUCUCAAAAAUAAAGAAGCAUUUUCCAAAAAAUCUUAAAUGGCUUACGGUGAUGGUUGCACGACCCUGUAGAUCUACUAAAAACCACUGACUUGAACACUUUAGAUAGAUGAAUUGCAUGAUAUGAGAAUUAUAUCUUGAUAAAGCUGUUAUUUUUAAAAAGUAACAUGACUUGCUUAGGGUCUCUCCCAGCAACUGGGAGGUGGCACUGGUACUAGAAUGUGGUCUCUUGACCCUAAGCUCGGUGCUCUUUCCACGAGCCCUACAGUGUCUCAAAAAUCCGGCCAUGGAGACUCGAAGGCCAAAUCCUAUAUGUGCAGGGGUGUCCACAUCACAUCUCGGCUUUUCUGUGGGGUUGUCAAAUUUCUGUCUCUGAGAGUGCGACUUGUUAUGUGUGUGCACAUAAAGAUUUGUGGUCUCACAACUAUGUGGACCUCACCAAGCAUGGCUCUGCACAUCUGUGUGUAGGCCCGUGGGUCUCUCGAUUGUGAGCGUUGUCUGUGCCCAUGAACUUCUGCUCGCUGGCGCACCGUGUCUCUGGGCGUUUGCAUUUGCAGGUAUAUAUCAGGUUGCGCCCAAGUCUCUGAAUGUCAGCGCAUGCGUCUGGGCCCACGAAGCCAGGGGACUUCAUGGGAGUCUGUGUUCAUGUGUUCUUGCAUGGCAGUGUUUCUACCUGUGUAAUGUGUCUCAGUGGGCGCCCGUGCAUUUCUUAAUGCGUCAGCCUACGAGUCUGGGCUCAUAUGCCUUCACCUCUGGGGCUCUGCCUGUGAUAUGUGUUAAUGUGUCAGUGCAUCUGUACACAUGUCCAUCCACAUGUUGGUAUGCUGGCGUCCACGCAGGUCCAUCUGUGGGCGUUUGCACCUAGGUGGCAGGGGCCCACGGGCCUGUCCAUCUGAGUCUGUGUGUCUGAACCCCUCCCGCAGGCACCAGUCCCAGAAGGCGCCUGCCUCCCCACCCCCGCCUCUGACAGCCGUGGAGAGAGCUACACAGUAAAUUCAUGGCCGCCCGGCUGGGAAACAGGCGGCUGCAAUGGAAAGGAAGCAUGGAUUUGCAUAUUGAAUUAAAAUUAAGAGCUAAUUAUGCAAAUAAAUUAUGACAUUUGGCAGGAGAAUUUGCUUCAAGAUCAUUUAUUACGUUCUUUUUAUAACAGUGUGAGCAUUUAACGGUCAAAGACAAUAUUUUAAGGGAAAAUUAACGCAAGAUUAUUAACCUAAAAACAAUUCCACAUUAAUGAGAUGGUGAGCUGGUCCCCCCCACACACCUGGGCAGGUCUAACGCCUAGACGGGGAAGGCCUUUUUCUCCUCCUCUCCUUCCUUCUCCCAGUCCGCAGGGGUGCAGGUGGCAGGGGGCUGGGAAAGGGUGAGUGUGCCUGGGUUUGUAUUUCUCGAUGGGGAGGUCUUGCUGAGCUGAAACUCCCACCUAAGAUCAGAGCUCUGGGCUGCAUUUAGGAGGCCACACAGAGGAUGAGUUAAGCCCCACCCCCAAACAUGCCUAGUCGUGAAAAACAUGAUCUUGGCCUUGGGAAGCCCCCAUUCUAAGGAGAAAGACAGAGCCCCACCGUAGAAAUGGCUCUGUAAAUACCAGUUGGAUGGGACCUGGAAAGUAGGGGUUAAACAGUGUGGUUGUGCCCCACCUUAUCCAGCCCCCUCUCCCUCCUCCCAGAUUCCCUGGUGUCCUCCAGUCACUCAGUGCUCCAGAGCUCUGAGCUCUACAUCCCUCCAGGUCCCAUUGUCUCGAUUUUCCCUACAACCUUAAUCUG